Molecule: ribosomal RNA, 253 nt
Filed under: uncultured bacterium
Lineage: Bacteria
Description: partial 16S ribosomal RNA
Rfam family: Bacterial small subunit ribosomal RNA
Source: RNAcentral
UACGUAGGGUGCGAGCGUUAAUCGGAAUUACUGGGCGUAAAGCGUGCGUAGGCGGUUCGUUAAGUCAGCUGUGAAAGCCCCGGGCUCAACCUGGGAACUGCGGUUGAAACUGGCGAACUAGAAUCUGGCAGAGGGGGGUGGAAUUCCACGCGUAGCAGUGAAAUGCGUAGAGAUGUGGAGGAACACCGAUGGCGAAGGCAGCCCCCUGGGCUGAGAUUGACGCUCAGGCACGAAAGCGUGGGGAGCAAACAGG